UGUAACACAGGUAUUCAAUGUGAACAGCUUGAUAUAGAUCAAAGGAGGAAAGGGGACCCGUAUAGCUGGACAAAGCGAGAAGAUUUGACUCUGACAAAAUUGCAGGCUUAUCUGUUUGGUAACCCAGAGGCACCGCCGAGAGAAGAUGAGAAGCUUUGUCUUGCAGCGGUCAUCCUUACAGAGGGAAUACUAAUGACGCCUAAUUC
Molecule: long non-coding RNA, 206 nt
Filed under: Capsella rubella
Lineage: Eukaryota; Viridiplantae; Streptophyta; Magnoliopsida; Brassicales; Brassicaceae
Description: long non-coding RNA (CRUB_LNC004107)
Source: RNAcentral